Molecule: ribosomal RNA, 423 nt
Filed under: uncultured bacterium
Lineage: Bacteria
Description: partial 16S ribosomal RNA
Rfam family: Bacterial small subunit ribosomal RNA
Source: RNAcentral
GUAGGGAAUCUUGCGCAAUGGGCGAAAGCCUGACGCAGCCAUGCCGCGUGAAUGAUGAAGGUCUUAGGAUUGUAAAAUUCUUUCACCGGGGACGAUAAUGACGGUACCCGGAGAAGAAGCUCCGGCUAACUUCGUGCCAGCAGCCGCGGUAAUACGAAGGGGGCUAGCGUUGCUCGGAAUUACUGGGCGUAAAGGGCGCGUAGGCGGAUAUUUAAGUCGGGGGUGAAAGCCCGGGGCUCAACCUCGGGAUAGGCUUCGAUACUGGAUAUGUUGAGUACGGGAGAGGGGUGUGGAACUCCGAGUGUAGAGGUGAAAUUCGUAGAUAUUCGGAAGAACACCAGUGGCGAAGGCGACACACUGGCCCGUUACUGACGCUGAGGCGCGAAAGCGUAGGGAGCAAACAGGAUUAGAUACCCGAGUAGU